UUAUCCGUCAUAUUCUCUCGUUUAAGAUAUGUGGCUUAGAAUCUUCGUCCGUGUGAGAGAAACAUCCGCUUCUCUACCGAAUCACACUCCCUACUCUCACGAAUCCUCAAAUUACUCCGACAUCAAUCUAUACCAAAAUAAUUCUGGAUCGUGGCCCCCCGUUUUUUAUUGUCUCUCCUUUUGUUCUUCGUUGUUGUUCUAUAAUCAAUCAGCUGGUUGUUUUCUGCAUUUUGUUUUGUCGAGAGAGAACAGUGGGAGGAUGUGGAUCAUUUGGCUCACGAAAGGAGCAAGACCCAGUUCGAUGUGGACCAGAUGAAGGUCGUCUGGGCCGGCUCCCGCCACGCCUUGGAAGUCUCCGAUCGGAUUGUCGCCACCGAUUCAGAGUUUAAGAAGGAUGAUAGGACUAGGCUAAGUAGGAAGGACUUGUUUAAGGACACACUGAGAAAAGCAGCUCAAGUCUGGAAGCGGAUCAAUGAGCUUAAACUUACUGGGAGGUUUCAUGUUUUACGGAUUUAGUACACUUUGUCUAUGAUUUUGUUGGUUGAAUGACUCGAUUGUGCUACUGUUAAUUUCAGAGGAAGAAGCAUCCAAGUUCAACCUUCAUAUAUGGAAUAAUUUCAGAGGAAGAAGCAUCCAAGUUCAACCUUCAUAUAUGGAUCUUCACUGGGGAAUGUUUAUACCUUUUAUUAAAGGAUCAGGUAUUGGGGUUCAAUCUAAGGAAGAAGAAGACUGAACAUAACGCACUCCAAACCAGAGACUGAUUUGGGCCCUCUCUUAUUUCCCCUCGGCUUUGUAGUGUUGGGUUCCCUAGAGUUGUUAGUAAUGCUUUAAACUAUGACCUCUUUGGUGCAAGAUGCACAAAAGGUUUUUCUUUGCUGUAAUUUAGCCUUUCGUAUCAAAAAAAAAACCAAAGGCUGAUUUCUAGGCAAAAUCAGCUAGUCCCAUCUCCAAAUCAGGAUUCCUGCCGAAAAUUUGG
Argentina anserina (silverweed cinquefoil) is the source of this 976-nucleotide long non-coding RNA. RefSeq lists it as uncharacterized. NCBI's taxonomy places the organism in Eukaryota, Viridiplantae, Streptophyta, Magnoliopsida, Rosales, Rosaceae. The record is from RefSeq and is a predicted model, not a curated record. The transcript has 3 exons.